GGAUGAACGCUGGCGGCGUGCCUACCACAUGCAAGUCGAGCGAAGCGCUUAAAUUAGAUUUCUUCGGAAUGACGAUUUUUGUGACUGAGCGGCGGACGGGUGAGUAACGCGUGGGUAACCUGCCUCAUACAGGGGGAUAACAGUUAGAAAUGACUGCUAAUACCGCAUAAGACCCCAGCUUCGCAUGAAGCGGUGGUAAAAACUCCGGUGGUAUGAGAUGGACCCGCGUCUGAUUAGCUAGUUGGUAAGGUAACGGCUUACCAAGGCGACGAUCAGUAGCCGACCUGAGAGGGUGACCGGCCACAUUGGGACUGAGACACGGCCCAGACUCCUACGGGAGGCAGCAGUGGGGAAUAUUGCACAAUGGGGGAAACCCUGAUGCAGCGACGCCGCGUGAAGGAUGAAGUAUUUCGGUAUGUAAACUUCUAUCAGCAGGGAAGAAAGUGACGGUACCUGACUAAGAAGCCCCGGCUAACUACGUG
Molecule: ribosomal RNA, 482 nt
Filed under: uncultured bacterium
Lineage: Bacteria
Description: partial 16S ribosomal RNA
Rfam family: Bacterial small subunit ribosomal RNA
Source: RNAcentral